GACAGAUAGAAUCUACACAAACAAAAGCUCUCUGAGGCCAACAGUUUUUAAUUGUGUAAAGCGGUCCUGGGACCGGAGUUUGAGAGUGGCUGAUCUAGGCUGCCUCUACAGGGCAGACUGGGGCUCAGAGAAUAAUUGCUGAUGUUGCUUCUUCCUUACCUAUUUUCCCUGAGUGGCAAACCCCCCCCAAAGCCACAGCCUUGGCUAUGGAGCCAGCCUAGAUGUCCUCUUUCUAACUUUUCUAACCAUUUCAGGAGGACCGCCACGGUGAUACUCAGGAGGAAAACUGCCAUCUGCCCAAGGCUUCAGCACCUCAAGCAGCUCCAUGGCCACGGAGAUUUUUUCAAGACCAGCAUUCUCCUACCAGUGAAAGCAGAAUUACAGAAGCAGAAAGCUGGGAGGUUUGGAGUUCAUGGCCUCACCCUGUGACCAGAGAGGUCAGGAGAGGGGGGUGAUGAGGCGAAGGACCAAGGCGGAUGAGAUCUUCCUGCAUGAAGAGGCUUCCCAGUAAUGAGCUUCCUGCUCAUGGUGGAGAAGGCAGAGUGGUGCUGCCAGGUGAGGAAUGAAGGCGGGAUGGGAUUUGCUUGUAAAUCUAUCUGCUGCCAAGUUUUUGACCUCCUCCUUUGAGAAUUCAUUGGUAGCCCGUUGGAUUUCUUUUCUGAGACUGGGUUAUUUCUUGUUCUGGUAUCCCAGAUGUGUUGUAGUUGUCAAUGUUUAUACACUUUCCAGUUCUCGGUAUUAUUGACACCGUUGGGGAAAUAGUUGCUAGCUAAUAACAUUAUCUGUUUCUUCAUUCGUUGUGAAUUCUUCUUUUUCAUGCUCGAUGCAGGUAAGUUCAUGCUCUUCUUUCUUCUUUCAACAUCAGAUUAGCUAGUUGUCUAGACAGUACUGUGCUGGAAUUUCUUUUGAAGAGCUCCUCCCUGUUUUACCGGAUGCUAGGUUGUUGUGCCUUUCAUUUUUAGUCACUUGAUUUUUGAUUUUCAGCAUGUAGAAUAGGGUAGUUAAUGGAGCUUAAUUAAUAUUCUUCCUCUGUUGGGUUUGCUGGUUCUUUAGCUGAAGGCCCAAUUUGUUGCUUUGUUCUUUCUUUUCUUGCUGAGUGUUUAGAGAUGUCAAUUUUCCCCCAAGGAUCGUUUUGGUUGCAUACCCAAACUGUGCUUGUUAUCUUGCUGUAUCAUUGUCGUUAAUGAAAUUUUCUCAUGUCACUGAUUUGUUCUGACCCCCUAAUUCCUUGGGAGUAAGUUCUUUUUAUCUCCAGUUCAUUUGCCGGCUCUCUUUUUGAGACUGGGCAGGCCCUCCUCCCCCCUUGUCCAUCUCUGUAUGGGGAAGAAUGGGAGAGAAUUGGCCAAAGGAAGCGCCCAGGAGUGGAUGUCUUUCCAUGUUCUGAGCUGGGCACAGAUACUACACCAGGAAGGAGCCAGGGCGAAUGGGG
This 1429-nucleotide long non-coding RNA is filed under the name Monodelphis domestica (gray short-tailed opossum). RNAcentral describes it as "lncRNA (ENSMODG00000045774.1)". Lineage: Eukaryota; Metazoa; Chordata; Mammalia; Didelphimorphia; Didelphidae. The record is from RNAcentral.